CACCUGGUGGCACAAGGUGUGCAUCUGCAGUAUAUGACAAGUCAUCUAUAUGCUCUAUGCAGAAGUUCCCUGUUCGAUUCGGGGUCGGGUGA
Non-coding RNA from Mycena latifolia, 92 nucleotides. The record is from the annotation of a GenBank genome assembly. NCBI's taxonomy places the organism in Eukaryota, Fungi, Basidiomycota, Agaricomycetes, Agaricales, Mycenaceae.